GCCAGAUAUGGUGGUGUGCACCUGUAGUCACAGCUAUUCAGGAGGCUGAGGCAGAAGGAUUGCUUGAGCCCAGAAGUCCUGGGUUGUAGUGCGCUCUGCUGAUUGGGUGUCUGCCCUAAGUUCAACAACAAUGUGCUGACCUUCCAGGAGCGAGGGACCACCAGGUUGCCUAAGGAGGGUUGAACCUGCCCAGGCUGGAAAUGGAGCAAGUCAAAACUCCUGUGCUGAUCAGCAGUGGGGUCACACCUGUGAAUAGUCACUGUAUUACAGCCUGGGCAACAUAGUGAGACCCGUCUCUA
Pongo abelii (Sumatran orangutan) is the source of this 299-nucleotide unclassified non-coding RNA. It matches the Rfam family "Metazoan signal recognition particle RNA". Rfam says of the family: The signal recognition particle (SRP) is a universally conserved ribonucleoprotein. The record is from Ensembl. Lineage: Eukaryota; Metazoa; Chordata; Mammalia; Primates; Hominidae.